GGGCGAGUGGCGGAGCCGGUAUACGCGGAGGACUUAAAAUCCUCUGGCCGAAAGGCCUCGUGGGUUCGAAUCCCACCUCGCCCACCA
Molecule: transfer RNA, 87 nt
Filed under: Candidatus Uhrbacteria bacterium
Lineage: Bacteria; Candidatus Uhriibacteriota
Description: tRNA-Leu
Rfam family: tRNA
About the family: Transfer RNA (tRNA) molecules are approximately 80 nucleotides in length. Their secondary structure includes four short double-helical elements and three loops (D, anti-codon, and T loops).
Source: RNAcentral